GAUGAACGCUGGCGGCGUGCCUAAUACAUGCAAGUCGAGCGAACGGACGAGAAGCUUGCUUCUCUGAUGUUAGCGGCGGACGGGUGAGUAACACGUGGAUAACCUACCUAUAAGACUGGGAUAACUUCGGGAAACCGGAGCUAAUACCGGAUAAUAUUUUGAACCGCAUGGCUCAAAAGUGAAAGACGGUCUUGCUGUCACUUAUAGAUGGAUCCGCGCUGCAUUAGCUAGUUGGUAAGGUAACGGCUUACCAAGGCAACGAUGCAUAGCCGACCUGAGAGGGUGAUCGGCCACACUGGAACUGAGACACGGUCCAGACUCCUACGGGAGGCAGCAGUAGGGAAUCUUCCGCAAUGGGCGAAAGCCUGACGGAGCAACGCCGCGUGAGUGAUGAAGGUCUUCGGAUCGUAAAACUCUGUUAUUAGGGAAGAACAUAUGUGUAAGUAACUGUGCACAUCUUGACGGUACCUAAUCAGAAAGCCACGGCUAACUACGUGCCAGCAGCCGCGGUAAUACGUAGGUGGCAAGCGUUAUCCGGAAUUAUUGGGCGUAAAGCGCGCGUAGGCGGUUUUUUAAGUCUGAUGUGAAAGCCCACGGCUCAACCGUGGAGGGUCAUUGGAAACUGGAAAACUUGGGUGCAGAAGAGGAAAGUGGAAUUCCAUGUGUAGCGGUGAAAUGCGCAGAGAUAUGGAGGAACACCAGUGGCGAAGGCGACUUUCUGGUCUGUAACUGACGCUGAUGUGCGAAAGCGUGGGGAUCAAACUGGAUUAGAUACCCUGGUAGUCCACGCCGUAAACGAUGAGUGCUAAGUGUUAGGGGGUUUCCGCCCCUUAGUGCUGCAGCUAACGCAUUAAGCACUCCGCCUGGGGAGUACGACCGCAAGGUUGAAACUCAAAGGAAUUGACGGGGACCCGCACAAGCGGUGGAGCAUGUGGUUUAAUUCGAAGCAACGCGAAGAACCUUACCAAAUCUUGACAUCCUUUGACAACUCUAGAGAUAGAGCUUUCCCCUUCGGGGGACAAAGUGACAGGUGGUGCAUGGUUGUCGUCAGCUCGUGUCGUGAGAUGUUGGGUUAAGUCCCGCAACGAGCGCAACCCUUAAGCUUAGUUGCCAUCAUUAAGUUGGGCACUCUAAGUUGACUGCCGGUGACAAACCGGAGGAAGGUGGGGAUGACGUCAAAUCAUCAUGCCCCUUAUGAUUUGGGCUACACACGUGCUACAAUGGACAAUACAAAGGGCAGCGAAACCGCGAGGUCAAGCAAAUCCCAUAAAGUUGUUCUCAGUUCGGAUUGUAGUCUGCAACUCGACUACAUGAAGCUGGAAUCGCUAGUAAUCGUAGAUCAGCAUGCUACGGUGAAUACGUUCCCGGGUCU
This 1372-nucleotide ribosomal RNA is filed under the name uncultured bacterium. RNAcentral's name for it is "bacterial SSU rRNA". It matches the Rfam family "Bacterial small subunit ribosomal RNA", at positions 28 to 1381 of the family's 1533-position model. The record is from RNAcentral.